Molecule: long non-coding RNA, 254 nt
Filed under: Trifolium pratense (red clover)
Lineage: Eukaryota; Viridiplantae; Streptophyta; Magnoliopsida; Fabales; Fabaceae
Description: long non-coding RNA (TPRA_LNC010450)
Source: RNAcentral
AUCGAUUGUUAGAAUGUUUGCAAGCUUAUGGUAGAAUAGCUAUGUUUGUGUUGAUUGAGUGAAUAUACCAAUUUAAACAGGAGAAAAUGUGAGGGAGUGAAGUGAUUAUGGUUUGGUCAAUAUUUGUGAAAAGUUCUUGAUUUUUCAGUAUUAAUCUGUGUGCAAGUAAAUUCAUGAUAGGGAUGAUCAUUGAAAUGAUAAUUGUGAUGUUCUAACUUGACUGACUUUGAUGGCUUUGAAUUAGACUGUUUGAU